GACGAACGCUGGCGGCGUGCUUAACACAUGCAAGUCGAACGGAAAGGCCCUGCUUUUGUGGGGUGCUCGAGUGGCGAACGGGUGAGUAACACGUGAGUAACCUUCCCUUGACUUUGGGAUAACUUCAGGAAACUGGGGCUAAUACCGGAUAGGAGCUCCUGCUGCAUGGUGGGGGUUGGAAAGUUUCGGCGAUUGGGGAUGGACUCGCGGCUUAUCAGCUUGUUGGUGGGGUAGUGGCUUACCAAGGCUUUGACGGGUAGCCGGCCUGAGAGGGUGACCGGCCACAUCGGGACUGAGAUACGGCCCAGACUCCUACGGGAGGCAGCAGUGGGGAAUAUUGCACAAUGGGCGGAAGCCUGAUGCAGCAACGCCGCGUGCGGGAUGACGGCCUUCGGGUUGUAAACCGCUUUCGCCUGUGACGAAGCGUGAGUGACGGUAAUGGGUAAAGAAGCACCGGCUAACUACGUG
RNAcentral lists this ribosomal RNA (468 nucleotides) under uncultured bacterium. RNAcentral describes it as "partial 16S ribosomal RNA". It matches the Rfam family "Bacterial small subunit ribosomal RNA", at positions 28 to 507 of the family's 1533-position model. The record is from RNAcentral.